UACGAAGGGGGCUAGCGUUGUUCGGAUUCACUGGGCGUAAAGGGCGCGUAGGCGGUCACGCACGUCCGUUGUGAAAUCGCUCGGCUCAACUGGGCGGGGUCAGCGGAUACGGCGUGGCUGGAGCAAGCUAGGGGGCAAUGGAAUUCCCGGUGUAGUGGUGGAAUGCGUAGAUAUCGGGAGGAACACCAGUGGCGAAGGCGGUUGCCUGGAGCUUUGCUGACGCUGAUGCGCGAAAGCGUGGGGAGCGAUCCGG
This 253-nucleotide ribosomal RNA is filed under the name uncultured bacterium. RNAcentral describes it as "partial 16S ribosomal RNA". It matches the Rfam family "Bacterial small subunit ribosomal RNA", at positions 524 to 776 of the family's 1533-position model. The record is from RNAcentral.